GAGGCCCCGCCCCCACGGAAAUUGGGACCCGGUUCCAGAUUCCUACGGGAGGCAGCAGUGGGGAAUUUUGCCCAAUGGGCGCAAGCCUGAUGCAGCCAUGCCGCGUGUAUGAAGAAGGCCUUCGGGUUGUAAAGUACUUUCAGCGGGGAGGAAGGUGGUGAGGUUAAUAACCUCAGCAAUUGACGUUACCCGCAGAAGAAGCACCGGCUAACUCCGUGCCAGCAGCCGCGGUAAUACGGAGGGUAGCAAGCGUUAAUCGAGAAUUACUGGGGCCGUAAAGCGCACGCAGGCGGGUCUGUCAAGUCGGAUGUGAAAUCCCCGGGCUCAACCUGGGAACUGCAUUCGAAACUGGCAGGCUAGAGUCUUGUAGAGGGGGGUAGAAUUCCAGGUGUAGCGGUGAAAUGCGUAGAGAUCUGGAGGAAUACCGGUGGCGAAGGCGGCCCCCUGGACAAAGACUGACGCUCAGGUGCGAAAGCGUGGGGAGCAAACAGGAUUAGAUACCCUGGUAGUCCACGCCGUAAACGAUGUCGACUUGGAGGUUGUGCCCUUGAGGCGUGGCUUCCGGAGCUAACGCGUUAAGUCGACCGCCUGGGGAGUACGGCCGCAAGGUUAAAACUCAAAUGAAUUGACGGGGGCCCGCACAAGCGGUGGAGCAUGUGGUUUAAUUCGAUGCAACGCGAAGAACCUUACCUACUCUUGACAUCCAGAGAACUUACCAGAGAUGGAUUGGUGCCUUCGGGAACUCUGAGACAGGUGCUGCAUGGCUGUCGUCAGCUCGUGUUGUGAAAUGUUGGGUUAAGUCCCGCAACGAGCGCAACCCUUAUCCUUUGUUGCCAGCGGUCCGGCCGGGAACUCAAAGGAGACUGCCAGUGAUAAACUGGAGGAAGGUGGGGAUGACGUCAAGUCAUCAUGGCCCUUACGAGUAGGGCUACACACGUGCUACAAUGGCGCAUACAAAGAGAAGCGACCUCGCGAGAGCAAGCGGACCUCAUAAAGUGCGUCGUAGUCCGGAUUGGAGUCUGCAACUCGACUCCAUGAAGUCGGAAUCGCUAGUAAUCGUAGAUCAGAAUGCUACGGUGAAUACGUUCCCGGGCCUUGUACACACCGCCCGUCACACCAUGGGAGUGGGUUGCAAAAGAAGUAGGUAGCUUAACCUUCGGGAGGGCGCUUACCACUUUGUGAUUCACGACUGGGGUGAAGUCGUAACCAGGUAACCGUAGGGGAACCUGCGGUU
Molecule: ribosomal RNA, 1234 nt
Filed under: Enterobacter cloacae
Lineage: Bacteria; Pseudomonadati; Pseudomonadota; Gammaproteobacteria; Enterobacterales; Enterobacteriaceae
Description: bacterial SSU rRNA
Rfam family: Bacterial small subunit ribosomal RNA
Source: RNAcentral